RNAcentral lists this transfer RNA (77 nucleotides) under Caulobacter sp. RNAcentral's name for it is "tRNA-Arg". It matches the Rfam family "tRNA". Rfam says of the family: Transfer RNA (tRNA) molecules are approximately 80 nucleotides in length. Their secondary structure includes four short double-helical elements and three loops (D, anti-codon, and T loops). Lineage: Bacteria; Pseudomonadati; Pseudomonadota; Alphaproteobacteria; Caulobacterales; Caulobacteraceae. The record is from RNAcentral. RNAcentral also lists the same sequence under 76 other names.
GCACCCGUAGCUCAGCUGGAUAGAGCGCUGCCCUCCGAAGGCAGAGGUCACACGUUCGAAUCGUGUCGGGUGCGCCA